AUGGGCGCACGGGAGUACUCUCCCCUCAAAGUACGCCACCGGUUAGGUUUAACGUAAGAUGGCUUUGUGUUGUGCGAGAGUGGCAAGAAUCGGGUCAGAUUUCGCCGGGACGCAGCUCGAUUGCCUUUCGUGCAGAGGAACCUUCGACUAGGGUUCGUACGAUGCCCAAAACCUUACAGUCCACAAGAGCUAUUUCGAACAGCACUCUACGAGAAUUGUUGGAGAAUUGGAUGUAACUCUAUAAACUCCUAUAUUAUCUCCUAUCGCAGAAUACCUAGUUUGAACUCCUACUCGAAAUCGAAAGAAGGGAAGGAUGUGGGAUUACCGAUGUCACGAUUGGAAUUAGGAAAGGAAGCCUCUGUCCCAACUUUCUUUCCAGACUUGUAAAAAAGGAAAUUCCCACGGCUUCCGCGGAGAGACUCGGCUUGUGAGCUCCUUCUCCAAUGGAACCUACUGUGUAUACUCUUGCUUCACUGGAAGACUCGCUCGCUCUGUUGGUGUAGGUCUUACCUUUCUUGAUCCCUUGGUACUUGACCCCUCUUCAUUCUUAGCUUCCAUUCCAAAAACUGCACUCUUUCGGUCACCUUCCACAAUGGGCUUUCAAUCCGCUAUCUCCGCAUUGCUUCUGUAAACUCCGGUAUAGUUCCCCUCCCCUUUAG
Molecule: non-coding RNA, 659 nt
Organism: Vicia faba (fava bean)
Lineage: Eukaryota; Viridiplantae; Streptophyta; Magnoliopsida; Fabales; Fabaceae
Source: the annotation of a GenBank genome assembly